CCUACGGGAGGCAGCAGUGGGGAAUAUUGCGCAAUGGGCGAAAGCCUGACGCAGCGACGCCGCGUGAGGGAUGAAGGUCCUCGGAUCGUUAACCUUCGUUUGUAGGGAAGUACGGUCACUGUGCUAAUCAGCAGUGAAUUUACGGUACCUGCAAAGGACGCACCGGCUAACUCCGUGCCAGCAGCCGCGGUAAUACGGGGGGUGCGAGCGUUAAUCGGAUUUACUGGGCGUAAAGCGCUCGUAGGCGGUAUGUGAAGUCAAGGGUGAAAUCCCCGCGCUCAACGGGGGAACUGCCUGUGAUACUGGCAAACUGGAGUGUGUGAGAGGAUAGUGGAAUUCCAGGUGUAGGAGUGAAAU
RNAcentral lists this ribosomal RNA (357 nucleotides) under uncultured bacterium. RNAcentral's name for it is "partial 16S ribosomal RNA". It matches the Rfam family "Bacterial small subunit ribosomal RNA", at positions 338 to 687 of the family's 1533-position model. The record is from RNAcentral.